GAAAUGCGAUAAGUAAUGUGAAUUGCAGAAUUCAGUGAAUCAUCGAAUCUUUGAACGCACAUUGCGCCCCCUGGUAUUCCGGGGGGUAUGCCUGUUCGAGCGUCAUUUCACCACUCAAGCCUCGCUUGGUAUUGGGCAACGCGGUCCGCCGCGUGCCUCAAAUCGACCGGCUGGGUCUUCUGUCCCCUAAGCGUUGUGGAAACUAUUCGCUAAAGGGUGUUCGGGAGGCUACGCCGUAAAACAACCCCAUUUCUAAGGUUGACCUCGGAUCAGGUAGGGAUACCCGCUGAACUUAAGC
This 298-nucleotide unclassified non-coding RNA is filed under the name plant metagenome. RNAcentral's name for it is "partial contains 5.8S ribosomal RNA, internal transcribed spacer 2, and large subunit ribosomal RNA". The stretch from base 1 to 105 matches the Rfam family "5.8S ribosomal RNA", at positions 50 to 154 of the family's 154-position model. The record is from RNAcentral.